AGAGAAAGAGAGAGAGAGAGAGAGAGAGGCUCUUUGCUAUUUUUGUAAAGUUCAUGUUACUAAUUUUCUUUUGUUUCUGUUUUUUCAAUUCAUAACUUACUAGAUUAUCUUUUGGUUUUCUGGGUUUUGUUCCUGUUGUUUUUUCUUUCUUUUUUAUUUUUGGGUUUUUUCCCUUCUCCUUGUCUCUCUUUCUCUCUCAAAAUCAAUUGGGGGCUGGCACAUAAAAGCAUAUUAGGGUUUAUCAAUUGCAGAUCAAAGCCCA
Molecule: unclassified non-coding RNA, 262 nt
Filed under: Hevea brasiliensis (rubber tree)
Lineage: Eukaryota; Viridiplantae; Streptophyta; Magnoliopsida; Malpighiales; Euphorbiaceae
Source: RNAcentral